AUUGAACGCUGGCGGCAUGCUUUACACAUGCAAGUCGAACGGCAGCGGGGUAGUGCUUGCACUACUGCCGGCGAGUGGCGAACGGGUGAGUAAUAUAUCGGAACGUACCGAGUAAUGGGGGAUAACCAAUCGAAAGAUUGGCUAAUACCGCAUACGUCCUGAGGGAGAAAGCGGGGGAUCGCAAGACCUCGCGUUAUUCGAGCGGCCGAUAACUGAUUAGCUAGUUGGUGGGGUAAAGGCCUACCAAGGCGACGAUCAGUAGCGGGUCUGAGAGGACGAUCCGCCACACUGGGACUGAGACACGGCCCAGACUCCUACGGGAGGCAGCAGUGGGGAAUUUUGGACAAUGGGGGCAACCCUGAUCCAGCCAUGCCGCGUGUAUGAAGAAAGCCUUCGGGUUGUAAAGUACUUUUGUUAGGGAAGAAAAGGGAAGUGCUAAUACCACUUUUUGCUGACGGUACCUAAAGAAUAAGCACCGGCUAACUACGUG
RNAcentral lists this ribosomal RNA (490 nucleotides) under uncultured bacterium. Its description in RNAcentral is "partial 16S ribosomal RNA". It matches the Rfam family "Bacterial small subunit ribosomal RNA", at positions 30 to 507 of the family's 1533-position model. The record is from RNAcentral.